GACGAACGCUGGCGGCGUGCCUAAUACAUGCAAGUCGAACGAGAGCGACCGGUGCUUGCACUGGUCAAUCUAGUGGCGAACGGGUGAGUAACACGUGGGUAACCUGCCCAUCAGAGGGGGAUAACAUCCGGAAACGGAUGCUAAAACCGCAUAGGUCUUCGAACCGCAUGGUUUGAAGAGGAAAAGAGGCGCAAGCUUCUGCUGAUGGAUGGACCCGCGGUGCAUUAGCUAGUUGGUGAGGUAACGGCUCACCAAGGCCGUGAUGCAUAGCCGACCUGAGAGGGUGAUCGGCCACAUUGGGACUGAGACACGGCCCAAACCCCUACGGGAGGCAGCAGUAGGGAAUCUUCCGCAAUGGACGCAAGUCUGACGGAGCAACGCCGCGUGAGUGAAGAAGGUUUUCGGAUCGUAAAACCCUGUUGUUAGAGAAGAACAAGUGCUAGAGUAACUGUUAGCGCCUUGACGGUAUCUAACCAGAAAGCCACGGCUAACUACGUG
This 498-nucleotide ribosomal RNA is filed under the name uncultured bacterium. RNAcentral describes it as "partial 16S ribosomal RNA". It matches the Rfam family "Bacterial small subunit ribosomal RNA", at positions 28 to 507 of the family's 1533-position model. The record is from RNAcentral.